CGAUAUCAAUAAGCGGAGGAAAAGAAACUAACAAGGAUUCCCCUAGUAACGGCGAGUGAAGAGGGAAGAGCUCAAAUUUUAAAUCUAUUACGUUAUACGUGAUCGAAUUGUAAUUUGAAGAAGCGUUUUCUCGAUCCACGAUCGGUAGAAGUUCUCUUGGAACAGGACAUCAUAGAGGGUGAUAAUCCCGUGUGUUAUUGAUCGUGAGUUCGUAAUAUGAUACGCUUUCAAAGAGUCGAGUUGUUUGGGAUUGCAGCUCUAAUUGGGUGGUAAACAUCACCUAAGGCUAAAUAUUUGCGAGAGACCGAUAGCGAACAAGUACCGUGAGGGAAAGAUGAAAAGAACUUUGAAAAGAGAGUUAAAAAGUAUGUGAAAUUGUUGAAAGGGAAACGAUUGAAGUCAGUCGUGCAGUCAUCAACUCAACGGGUAUCGUGAGUAAUUUAUUGCUUACGUUUUCCGUGUACUUUGUUGUCUGCUGGUUGGCAUCAAUUUUGAUUGUCAUAAAAAGGUUAAGGGGAUGUGGCUCCUUCGGGAGUGUUAUAACCCUUAACGUAAUGUGGCGAUUGGGAUUGAGGAUUGCAACGAAUACCUUUAGGGCAGUUCCGUCUGGUCUCUUGUUGACGUUCAGAUGGCAACAGCCUGCUUUUGUUGUUUGAAUAGUUAACAAAUAGAUUGGAAAGUGAAUUAAUUCGUUAAGGAUGUUGACGUA
RNAcentral lists this ribosomal RNA (709 nucleotides) under uncultured Glomus. Its description in RNAcentral is "eukaryotic LSU rRNA". It matches the Rfam family "Eukaryotic large subunit ribosomal RNA", at positions 38 to 633 of the family's 3401-position model. The record is from RNAcentral. Lineage: Eukaryota; Fungi; Glomeromycota; Glomeromycetes; Glomerales; Glomeraceae.